Molecule: ribosomal RNA, 498 nt
Filed under: uncultured bacterium
Lineage: Bacteria
Description: partial 16S ribosomal RNA
Rfam family: Bacterial small subunit ribosomal RNA
Source: RNAcentral
ACUGAACGCUGGCGGCAUGCCUUACACAUGCAAGUCGAACGGUAACGGGCCUUCGGGCGCCGACGAGUGGCGAACGGGUGAGUAAUGCAUCGGAACGUACCUUUCAGUGGGGGAUAACGUAGCGAAAGUUACGCUAAUACCGCAUAUUCUGUGAGCAGGAAAGCAGGGGAUCGCAAGACCUUGCGCUGAUUGAGCGGCCGAUGUCAGAUUAGCUAGUUGGUGAGGUAAAGGCUCACCAAGGCGACGAUCUGUAGCGGGUCUGAGAGGAUGAUCCGCCACACUGGAACUGAGACACGGUCCAGACUCCUACGGGAGGCAGCAGUGGGGAAUUUUGGACAAUGGGGGCAACCCUGAUCCAGCCAUGCCGCGUGAGUGAAGAAGGCCUUCGGGUUGUAAAGCUCUUUCGGCCGGGAAGAAAUCGUAUGGGCUAAUACCCUGUGCGGAUGACGGUACCGGCAUAAGAAGCACCGGCUAACUACGUGCCAGCCGCCGCCGUAA